CGCUGGCGGCGUGCCUAAUACAUAGCAAGUCGAACGGUCUUUCUAUGGAAGCUUGCUUCCACUGAGAAGAUAGUGGCGAACGGGUGAGUAACACGUGGGUAACCUGCCCAUAAGAGGGGGGAUAACAUCCGGAAACGGGUGCUAAUACCGCAUAGUUUUCUUGAUCGCAUGAUCGGGAAAGGAAAGACGGCCUUUGUGCUGUCGCUUAUGGAUGGACCCGCGGCGUAUUAGUUAGUUGGUGAGGUAACGGCUCACCAAGACGAUGAUACGUAGCCGACCUGAGAGGGUGAUCGGCCACAUUGGGACUGAGACACGGCCCAAACUCCUACGGGAGGCAGCAGUAGGGAAUCUUCCGCAAUGGACGAAAGUCUGACGGAGCAACGCCGCGUGAGUGAAAGAAGGUUUUCGGAUCGUAAAACUCUGUUGUCAGAGAAGAACAAGUUGGAGAGUAACUGCUCCAGCCUUGACGGUAUCUGACCAGAAAGCCACGGCUAACUACGUGCCAGCCGCCGC
Molecule: ribosomal RNA, 513 nt
Filed under: uncultured bacterium
Lineage: Bacteria
Description: bacterial SSU rRNA
Rfam family: Bacterial small subunit ribosomal RNA
Source: RNAcentral